Molecule: long non-coding RNA, 3281 nt
Organism: Bombus pyrosoma
Lineage: Eukaryota; Metazoa; Arthropoda; Insecta; Hymenoptera; Apidae
Exons: 4
Source: RefSeq, a predicted model, not a curated record
AUUUCGUUAUAUUUCUAUUAUUACGUUCGUGCAUAAUUCAAUAAACUAAUAUAAAACAAAAAACAUUGUGCGUCUAUUAUUUCCUUAUAAAACGAAAGAAACUUUUCGGACAAUCUAAUAUAUUCCAAUAAGGGUGGAGCAACUGAUCACCAGAUGGCAGUAGAGAUUAUUUUUCAAAUAUUUUGAUAGAGUUUAAUUAUAACCUAUUUCGAGAAUUAUUUCUAAUACAAAUAAUAUGAACAUGUCAGAAGAAAAAAAAUGUAAAAUGAUAAAUACAAUUUUAAGGUAAAGUAACAUCUAAUGAGGACAAAUUGAAUAAAAUUCUAGAAGUUCAUAAGUCGAUUUUAGAUAAACGAAAGUAAUAUAGUAACUUUAAAUGAAAUAGACAAGAUGAUGGAGGUUGAAGCACAACUCUGAACAUGUCUUCAAGAUUGAUGAUAGAAGUUUUUAAUCGAAGUAAAACUUUAUUUAAAGUGAUGUUUCUUAAAGAUGACUAUAAUAUAACAUAUCAAACGAAACUAAGCUUCAUUAAAAUUUCAUAUUAUGAUAGAUACUUCACAAAGCGGAUAUUGCUUAUAAUUUAUAACGAAGAAGGAGAUAGUGAUUAAAAGUUGAGCAAGUAUUUUAUUAGAAGCUGCAAGCGUUGGGCGUUACACGUAAUUUCGUGGACCGAGAAUCUUUUAAAAUGAUGAAAUGAACGGUAUCCGGAUCGAUCGGCGCAGUUACAGCUUAAGUUGACCGAGUGAAGGAAGUGCACAAACAAGAAUUGUCAGAAAAACCGCAAACGUUGUAAUUCCAUAUAAGUACGUGUGAAUCAUGAAUAGAACUAAUGACAAACUAUGACGUCAUCUUGAUAUCAGAAUUUGCUGAAUAAAAUUAAAAGAACAUAAAUCGAAAAAUCAACAUUAUUGAAUAUUUUUAGAAAUAUAACUUCUGAAUGUACGCUAAUAAUGUCACUAUUGGCUGUCAUAAAUUUCAUCGACAUGAUAGGCCUUUAAUACAAAAUAGCAAUAAUUUUUUAUCGAACCGAUCUCAUUGAUGUCAAAUUACGGAGAAAAUUAUAACGAUCGACAGAGUUAAAUAAUGCCCACCAUUAAUAUUUUAUGUCAAUCCGAAAGUAAAAUAGCAAAGUCAUCAUGCCGCAGUGAAAGUAAAUUUAUUUCCAGCUCAUUAUCAUUUUUAUUGGCUUCCUUUUCUGCCAUAGUACAUCGUACGCAUUAGAUAUGUAAUUUCCUUUUUAUCAAUCAGGAUGAUCGAUAUUUCCUCUUGGAUACUUUACAUUAAUAUAUUCCAAGAUGAGAUCGUGAUUUAAGGAUGGAAAUAGCAUUAAGGAAGAAGAACGAAGAAAAUGUAAAUGUUGACAAAAAGAGAACUACCUUCUAUUAUAAUCUUCUUCUAGGUGAAAUGUUGUGAUAGAAAAUAUGGAAGAUAUUUAUGAUAUUCGAAGAACGCCUAGGAAACGACAUAGUAUGGCAUAACCAUUCCCUCGUCUUUACCAUGUAUGGCAAGAAAUUGAGAAAAACAUGAAUGAAAAGGUGCACGAUGCGGAAAAAUAAGAAGCAGAAUACAAACGUGGUUGCUUGUGAAAGCUUUCUAGCAGAAGAAUCUUUUAUUAUGCCGUAGUGUGUCGCGAGCAGUCGGCUCUACUCACGGAUCGUUCCAUUUUCGUUCGUCUGGUCGGUGGUUCGCCACGGAACGAAGCUCUGGAAGAUCAGCUGGAGCGAUAAAGAGGUUAAAAUACAGACGCGUUGAACCGAGAACUCGCCUGACAAUUUAGACGGAGGAAAUAAUGUGCAACGAGUCGAGUAAAAUCGUUAAUUAAGAGAUUCGCACUCUAUGGCUCUGGCGAUCUUUGUAGCGGUGAAUCGUGUAAUGAUGCCUAACACAUUGAUUGUUAUUGCUUCUUGACAAAAUACAGGGGAUUUGUAAAAUCUAUGUUCGUUCGAUAAAUAAUUAAGCAUUUGUCCUAUUUAUAAUAUCGAGUCACGCUCGCGAUUUAAUAUCAGAAUUACUAAAAUAUAGAGAUUUUAUACAUUUGUAGUAUCACAUUUUUGGAGAUUUUAAUGGUUCUUCGUAACACAUAUGGAUAAGGGCUUAUUUUUCCUAUUGUAUUAUAUAUUUUAUCAUAUACUUUUCAUUUUAAUCCAAAUUUUAUACUUUAGUCACUGAUAGUUCUAAUGUUAAGGAUCAAAUUACAAUGAAGAGAAGCUCUGCUUGUAUCAAAGAUUAAUUUUAACUCUUUCCCAAAUUUUCAACUCUCUAGUUGAAUUUUGAAAUGUUAACUCUAAAUUUAAUUUGCAAUUAUAAAAUUAUGGACUAUUGAAUACAAUUUCUAUCUAAUAUUUUAAUAUCUUUCUUUAAAUAAAGUGUUAAAGCAGUAAAUAAUUAGCUCUGACCUAUACUCAGGAAAAAAAUUAUAAAUCAAAGGGUUCAUUAGAAGGAGUUGCAAUUGACCAACUUCCAGUGGGAAUUAUUUUGAGUUUCCUCGAACAAUCGAGUUAAAGUUCCUUCGUUGGUUCGCGAGCUCUUGUCAAGUCGAUUGCGGCUGUAAUCGAUACUUGGAGCACGAUUAUUGCUCAAUUGUGAGAGGAACAUAAGAGUCAGUCGACAUAGCGAUCUUUCUGCGUAAUCUCUGAAAUUAGGAGCUUCUUUGCUGUCUUCGGCUCAAGUUUGUAGAAUAGAUUAAAUGAAAGUUUUUGUUGUUCGAUUAUAUGGAGAUUUUGACGGGAGGGAGAUAUUAGAUAAAGCAGAACUUAAAACAGAUCACAAAAUAUGUAAGAGUGAGAUAUAGUUUAAAAUACACUGAUGUCGUAGGAGAGAAAUUGAAGUGAUGUCAGAGUAUUUAAGACACCUCCACUAAAUUCCUACUCUUCCUACUCUUCUCGAUCUUCUUCUCCAUUUCACAAUCUUGAUUUUAUAUACUUUGUAUAUUCUCUCGCAAUUCAUAACUUCUAUGUUUUUACCAUUGCGUCAAUUAGUAAUUAAAAAUAUUCCAUUGUGGGAAGAUGGUCCAUCUAUUAAAUAACUUCUAUAAUUUAUGUAUAUUACAUCUCUUCAUAUUCUAUACUUUUUCUAUACUUAUAAAACCGUUCUAUUAUAUUAACAAAAUUGGAUUAAUUUCCCAAUUUAGAUCAAUAUAUAAUAAUUAAAUAGUCUACUUCUAUUCUAAAUAUCCUGUUACUAAUAUAUAAUUAAAAUAUUGUAUUAUCAUUAAACAUAUCUUAUUUUUAUCUUAUUUGGAAUAUAUUCUUUGUAAUUAAUAUAUUUCUGUUACAUUAACG